GACGAACGCUGGCGGCGCGCUUAACACAUGCAAGUCGAACGGAAAGGCCUGCUUUCCCUUGUGGAUUGCGGGUACUCGAGUGGCGAACGGGUGAGUAACACGUGAGUGAUCUGCCCCCAACUUGGGUAUAAGCCUGGGAAACUGGGUCUAAUUCCCGAUAGGACUGCAGGGUGGUGCCGGUGGUGGAAAACGAUUUUCUAGUGGUUGGGGAUGAGCUCGCGGCCUAUCAGCUUGUUGGUGGGGUAAUGGCCUACCAAGGCGGCGACGGGUAGCCGGCCUGAGAGCGUGUACAGCGACAUUGGGACUCAGAGACGCCCCCGACGCCUACGAGAGGCAGCGGCGGGGAACAUAGAACAAUGGGCGGAAGCCUGAUGCAGCGACGCCGAGCGGGGGGUCUCGGCCUUCGGGUUGGAAGCUCCUUUCGCCCGCGAGGACGCCACCUGGUUGGAAGGGUGGUGACGGUAGUGGUAGAAGAAGCACCGGCUAACUACGUG
Molecule: ribosomal RNA, 494 nt
Filed under: uncultured bacterium
Lineage: Bacteria
Description: partial 16S ribosomal RNA
Rfam family: Bacterial small subunit ribosomal RNA
Source: RNAcentral